CGUGGCGGUGCCGGCGGUGGCUCCGGUGAGCUAUGGAGAUUGUUCAACUUCCAGAGGCUUCCUCAUAAAUUUUUGGAAUUUUUGAGACACAGAUAAACUUCGGGUGAUCGAGAUCAACUAUUUUCCUGCAUCCAGCAGCCACAAUAGUCGACGGUGUACUGCUACAGGAGGAGACAUUUUUCAGAAUAACCUGUCCCUUUCCUCUCAGGUUAUGAAAAGAUUACUUAAUUGUAUUAUUAUUCUCUAAAUUUGUAAUUUAGGACUCCGCAUGUGCUAGUAGUAGCAUUAAGCCUAUCAGAGACUGUAUGAAUUCAAGUUUUCAUAUUAAUAAAUGAAAAGAAAAAAUUUUUAUGA
Hevea brasiliensis (rubber tree) is the source of this 354-nucleotide long non-coding RNA. RefSeq lists it as uncharacterized. The transcript has 3 exons. The record is from RefSeq and is a predicted model, not a curated record. Lineage: Eukaryota; Viridiplantae; Streptophyta; Magnoliopsida; Malpighiales; Euphorbiaceae.